CAGGGGAUUAUUCAUCAAACCUCCUGCCCUCAUUCACCUCAACAGAAUGGUGUUGUUGAAAGAAAACACAGAACACUUCUUGAAACAUGUAGAGCCCUGCUUUUUCAGUCUGGCUUACCUGUUCUUUCUGGGGGGAUUGUCUGUUAACUGCCACCUAUCUUAUUAACAGAAUACUUUCCAGAAUCCUUCACCAUAAGUAUCCUCAUGAAAUUUUGUUUGGCAAGGCUCCAUCCUAUUCUCAUUUGAGGGCAUUUGGAUGCCUUGCUUAUGCUGCUGUCCCUAUUUCUCAAAGGGACAAGCUGAAACCUAGAGCCCAUUCUAAGGCUCCAUCCUAUUCUUAUUUGAGGGCAUUUGGAUGCCUUGCUUAUGCUGCUGUCCCUAUUCCUCAAAAGGACAAGCUGAAACCUAGAGCCCAUUCUUGUGUUUUUCUGGGUUACCCUUUUGCCAAGAAGGGUUAUAAACUGUAUAAUUUGGUUUCCAAAAAGUGUUUUGUCUCAAGGGAUGUUGUCUUCCAUGAAACUUAUUUCCCUUUUAAGAAUAAACCUACUUCUGCUCACCCUUCUUCUUCAUCUUUUCCUUUUAUUCCUCCUGCUGAUGAUUUCACUGACACUGACUUUCCUAUACCUGCUUCCCCUGAUUCUCCUGUUCCUCAUUCUCCUUCUGCUUCUCCUGUCCCUGAUUUUCCUGAUGCUGGUCCAUCUUUCAAUCAUGAUCUCCCUACUCCUGUGUUACCUCCUUCACAUCCUCUUCCCACACCUAGAAGUCCACUAGACAGCAUAAUCCUCCUUCCUACCUUAAGGAUUAUAUCUG
RNAcentral lists this long non-coding RNA (810 nucleotides) under Nicotiana benthamiana. Its description in RNAcentral is "long non-coding RNA (NBEN_LNC029569)". Lineage: Eukaryota; Viridiplantae; Streptophyta; Magnoliopsida; Solanales; Solanaceae. The record is from RNAcentral.